RNAcentral lists this long non-coding RNA (512 nucleotides) under Arabidopsis lyrata. Its description in RNAcentral is "long non-coding RNA (ALYR_LNC001851)". The record is from RNAcentral. Lineage: Eukaryota; Viridiplantae; Streptophyta; Magnoliopsida; Brassicales; Brassicaceae.
UAUUAAAAUUCAUUUGAAUAACGAAAAUAACUUAAAAUACCCGCACACACACACACAAAAUAAUUGAUUCGUUAUUGAUCGUGAUCUAUGAGCAAGCGUACUCAAAAUACCCGCAUACACACACAAAAUAAUUGAUUCGUUAUUGAUCGUGAUCUUUGAGCAAGCGUACUCCUUCUCUAAUCAUCUACUAUAAAUGUUGAUGGGCUACAUGGUCACAAUCUCGGGAAAAGGGGAUUUUCAUACCCGUACUAUUGGGACCGUGGAUUUUUAUACCUCGACAUUUUUGUAGUGUAUUUUCCAACCCAAACUGAAAUAAAAUUUGAAUUUCAUACCUGUAUUUGAUAAAUCGUGCAAAAAACGAAGUCAAUCUAAUGGGUGUUAGUCAACUCCGUUACGAUGAUGAGUCAUCGUACACGUGUACGCUGACGUGUAUCCCAUACGACGUCGUUUUAAUAAUUGUUCUCAAAAGUUUAAAUUUUUUGCAAAAUCAGGGAUUCGAACCCAUGACCCUU